AGUGUCACUCCACUCCACCAUCCUCUGACGCCAUCAUCUUCCCACCGAUGAUCAUUCAAGAAGAAAGUACAGCAAAGCCCGAUCAGUAUCUAAAUCCUUGUUGUUGAAGCCCUAAGUCAGCGAAUCUCUAUUCUGGAUCAAGUUCCUUCAAGUUGUUCUCAAUCGACAAUCGACGAUCUUCUGGAGGUGCGAAUUGCAAAUCUCUCUCUCUCUCGCACGUGCGCGCGCCCAGUCGUCAGUCUCUCUCUCGCAGCGGCAACAACACCAGCGCCACGUCACGCAGCGGCAACAACACCAGCGCUAACACCUCUCGCUCUCACUGUUAAUACAUCAAAAGCCACAUAGGGAGAGAGAGAGAGAGCAAGCGAGCGAGAGUGACUAACGGCGGCCAGAAGUUCCAUCUCUGCCCAGCGCCACCUCUGCACAAGAGGGCAUCAAAUUGGUAUUGGGACAUCGAUCAGCACCCGCGCCACCUCCGUCUCUUUCUCUUGCCCAUCCAUGGCCUCAUUGCCACCGCUGCCUCACCCAUGUUCUCCCCAUAGGGACAUCUCUAUUCGAGGAGCCGUGCCCAUGGCUAAUUUGCAUCUGAUUAUAACUUGUUUUUGAGUUCUUCCCAAGUGAGCAUGAACACUGGCAUAUCGGAAUCCAUUUUCAAUGGCUCCAAAGCCUCACUUCUUCAAUCCCUUCAACCCAUCAGCACCUUGUUAAGUUGUUUGCUAGUAUUUUAGGCAAAACAGAGACCCCCUUAGAACCCCCUAUCUUUUUUUAUUGGUAAAGGGAAAAAUAUUUAGAUAUAUAUAUAUAUAUAUAUGUAAUGAAAAGAAGUUAAGUGUUAAUUAAAUUUUAUAGAAGAAAUAGAAAUGAC
Molecule: non-coding RNA, 865 nt
Organism: Camellia sinensis
Lineage: Eukaryota; Viridiplantae; Streptophyta; Magnoliopsida; Ericales; Theaceae
Source: RefSeq, a predicted model, not a curated record